Molecule: unclassified non-coding RNA, 285 nt
Filed under: plant metagenome
Description: partial contains small subunit ribosomal RNA, internal transcribed spacer 1, and 5.8S ribosomal RNA
Rfam family: Eukaryotic small subunit ribosomal RNA (bases 1-54)
Source: RNAcentral
GGAAGUAAAAAUCGUAACAAGGUUUCCGUAGGUGAACCUGCGGAAGGAUCAUUAUUGUAUAACCGAGGUGCGAGGGCUGUCGCUGACCCGAAAGGUCGUGCACGCCCGAGUGCCCUCACACACAUCCAUCUCACCCCUAUGUGCACCACCGCGUGGGUCCCCCUUUGGCUUGUUCGGAGGGGGGCUUACGUUUUCACACAAACUUUGUAUGCAGUGUAGAAUGUAUUUUUUGUUUUUGCGAUCACGCAAUCAAUACAACUUUCAACAACGGAUCUCUUGGCUCUC